RNAcentral lists this long non-coding RNA (225 nucleotides) under Mytilus galloprovincialis (Mediterranean mussel). The record is from RNAcentral. Lineage: Eukaryota; Metazoa; Mollusca; Bivalvia; Mytilida; Mytilidae.
GUUUUUCUUAAUUUAUAAGCAAUAGGUCAACUUUAUUUGUUGUAUGAAAGAAUUGUUAGCUGUAAAUGUCUGCCUGACAUGGUUCAUCUGACCUUGACCUCAUUUUCAUGGUUCAUUGGUCAAUGUUUAGUUUUCUUGGUUAAUGUUGAGUUUAUGUGACAGUUGUAAUAAAGCUUUAUAUUUAGGACUAUCAACAUAAUAUCAAUGAUUAGUAAAGAAGGCAAG